UGGGGGAUAUUGCACAAUGGAGGAAACUCUGAUGCAGCAACGCCGCGUGAGGGAAGACGGUUUUCGGAUUGUAAACCUCUGUCCUUGGUGAAGAUAAUGACGGUAGCCAAGGAGGAAGCUCCGGCUAACUACGUGCCAGCAGCCGCGGUAAUACGUAGGGAGCAAGCGUUGUCCGGAUUUACUGGGUGUAAAGGGUGCGUAGGCGGCUUAUCAAGUCAGGCGUGAAAUAUAUGGGCUUAACCCAUAGACUGCGUUUGAAACUGAUGAGCUUGAGUGAAGUAGAGGUAGGCGGAAUUCCCGGUGUAGCGGUGAAAUGCGUAGAGAUCGGGAGGAACACCAGUGGCGAAGGCGGCCUACUGGGCUUUAACUGACGCUGAGGCACGAAAGCAUGGGUAGCAAACA
RNAcentral lists this ribosomal RNA (402 nucleotides) under uncultured prokaryote. RNAcentral's name for it is "bacterial SSU rRNA". It matches the Rfam family "Bacterial small subunit ribosomal RNA", at positions 355 to 774 of the family's 1533-position model. The record is from RNAcentral.